CUGGCGGCGUGCUUAACACAUGCAAGUCGAACGAUGAAGCCCAGCUUGCUGGGUGGAUUAAUGGCGAACGGGUGAGUAACACGUGAGUAACCUGCCCUUUCCUCUGGGAUAACUCCGGGAAACCGGUGCUAAUACUGGAUAUGACUCUUGCCUGCAUGGGUGGGGGUGGAAAGAUUUAUCGGGAUUGGAUGGACUCGCGGCCUAUCAGCUUGUUGGUGGGGUAAUGGCCUACCAAGGCGACGACGGGUAGCCGGCCUGAGAGGGUGACCGGCCACACUGGGACUGAGACACGGCCCAGACUCCUACGGGAGGCAGCAGUGGGGAAUAUUGCACAAUGGGCGGAAGCCUGAUGCAGCGACGCCGCGUGAGGGAUGACGGCCUUCGGGUUGUAAACCUCUUUCAGCUCUGACGAAGCUUUUGUGACGGUAGGAGCAGAAGAAGCACCGGCUAACUACGUGCCAGCAGCCGCGGUAAUACGUAGGGUGCGAGCGUUGUCCGGAAUUAUUGGGCGUAAAGAGCUUGUAGGCGGUUUGUCGCGUCUGCUGUGAAAUCCCGGGGCUUAACUCCGGGCUUGCAGUGGGUACGGGCAGGCUAGAGUAUGGUAGGGGAGACUGGAAUUCCUGGUGUAGCGGUGGAAUGCGCAGAUAUCAGGAGGAACACCGAUGGCGAAGGCAGGUCUCUGGGCCAUUACUGACGCUGAGAAGCGAAAGCGUGGGGAGCGAACAGGACUAGAUACCCUGGUAGUCCACGCCGUAAACGUUG
RNAcentral lists this ribosomal RNA (762 nucleotides) under uncultured Ornithinimicrobium sp. RNAcentral's name for it is "bacterial SSU rRNA". It matches the Rfam family "Bacterial small subunit ribosomal RNA", at positions 36 to 811 of the family's 1533-position model. Lineage: Bacteria; Bacillati; Actinomycetota; Actinomycetes; Micrococcales; Ornithinimicrobiaceae. The record is from RNAcentral.